RNAcentral lists this ribosomal RNA (1893 nucleotides) under Burkholderia pseudomallei. RNAcentral's name for it is "bacterial LSU rRNA". It matches the Rfam family "Bacterial large subunit ribosomal RNA", at positions 1039 to 2925 of the family's 2925-position model. Lineage: Bacteria; Pseudomonadati; Pseudomonadota; Betaproteobacteria; Burkholderiales; Burkholderiaceae. The record is from RNAcentral.
CUAAGGUCCCCAAAUAUGGCUAAGUGGGAAACGAAGUGGGAAGGCUAAAACAGUCAGGAGGUUGGCUUAGAAGCAGCCACCCUUUAAAGAAAGCGUAAUAGCUCACUGAUCGAGUCGUCCUGCGCGAAGAUGUAACGGGGCUAAGCCAUAUACCGAAGCUGCGGAUGCGAGCUAGUCUCGCAUGGUAGGAGAGCGUUCCGUAAGCCUGCGAAGGUGCGUUGAAAAGCGUGCUGGAGGUAUCGGAAGUGCGAAUGCUGACAUGAGUAGCGAUAAAGGGGGUGAAAGGCCCCCUCGCCGUAAGCCCAAGGUUUCCUACGCAACGUUCAUCGGCGUAGGGUGAGUCGGCCCCUAAGGCGAGGCAGAAAUGCGUAGCUGAUGGGAAGCAGGUCAAUAUUCCUGCACCGUCGUUAGAUGCGAUGGGGGGACGGAUCGCGGAAGGUUGUCCGGGUGUUGGAAGUCCCGGUCGCUGCAUUGGAGAAGGCGCUUAGGCAAAUCCGGGCGCAGGAUUCAAGGGUGUGGCGCGAGCUCCUUCGGGAGCGAAGCAAUUGGAAGUGGUUCCAAGAAAAGCCUCUAAGCUUCAGUCUAACGAUGACCGUACCGCAAACCGACACAGGUGGGCGAGAUGAGUAUUCUAAGGCGCUUGAGAGAACUCGGGAGAAGGAACUCGGCAAAUUGGUACCGUAACUUCGGGAUAAGGUACGCCCUGGUAGCUUGACUGGCCUGCGCCAGAAGGGUGAAGGGGUUGCAAUAAACUGGUGGCUGCGACUGUUUAAUAAAAACACAGCACUCUGCAAACACGAAAGUGGACGUAUAGGGUGUGACGCCUGCCCGGUGCCGGAAGAUUAAAUGAUGGGGUGCAAGCUCUUGAUUGAAGUCCCGGUAAACGGCGGCCGUAACUAUAACGGUCCUAAGGUAGCGAAAUUCCUUGUCGGGUAAGUUCCGACCUGCACGAAUGGCGUAACGAUGGCCACACUGUCUCCUCCCGAGACUCAGCGAAGUUGAAGUGUUUGUGAUGAUGCAAUCUACCCGCGGCUAGACGGAAAGACCCCAUGAACCUUUACUGUAGCUUUGCAUUGGACUUUGAACCGAUCUGUGUAGGAUAGGUGGGAGGCUAUGAAACCGGAACGCUAGUUUCGGUGGAGCCGUCCUUGAAAUACCACCCUGGUUUGUUUGAGGUUCUAACCUUGGCCCGUGAUCCGGGUCGGGGACAGUGCAUGGUAGGCAGUUUGACUGGGGCGGUCUCCUCCCAAAGCGUAACGGAGGAGUACGAAGGUACGCUAGGUACGGUCGGAAAUCGUGCUGAUAGUGCAAUGGCAUAAGCGUGCUUAACUGCGAGACCGACAAGUCGAGCAGGUGCGAAAGCAGGUCAUAGUGAUCCGGUGGUUCUGUAUGGAAGGGCCAUCGCUCAACGGAUAAAAGGUACUCUGGGGAUAACAGGCUGAUACCGCCCAAGAGUUCAUAUCGACGGCGGUGUUUGGCACCUCGAUGUCGGCUCAUCUCAUCCUGGGGCUGUAGCCGGUCCCAAGGGUAUGGCUGUUCGCCAUUUAAAGAGGUACGUGAGCUGGGUUUAAAACGUCGUGAGACAGUUUGGUCCCUAUCUGCCGUGGGCGUUGGAAGUUUGAAGGGGGCUGCUCCUAGUACGAGAGGACCGGAGUGGACGAACCUCUGGUGUACCGGUUGUGACGCCAGUCGCAUCGCCGGGUAGCUAUGUUCGGAAGAGAUAACCGCUGAAAGCAUCUAAGCGGGAAACUCGCCUUAAGAUGAGACUUCCCCGGGGACUUGAUCCCCUUGAAGGGUCGUUCGAGACCAGGACGUUGAUAGGUCGGGUGUGUAAGCGCAGUAAUGCGUUCAGCUAACCGAUACUAAUUGCCCGUACGGCUUGAUCCUAUAACA